RNAcentral lists this ribosomal RNA (253 nucleotides) under uncultured bacterium. RNAcentral describes it as "partial 16S ribosomal RNA". It matches the Rfam family "Bacterial small subunit ribosomal RNA", at positions 524 to 776 of the family's 1533-position model. The record is from RNAcentral.
UACGGAGGGUGCAAACGUUGCUCGGAAUCAUUGGGCGUAAAGCGCACGUAGGCGGCCCAGCAAGUCGGGUGUGAAAGCCCUCGGCUUAACCGAGGAAGUGCAUUCGAAACUACUGAGCUUGAAUACUGGAGAGGAUCGCGGAAUUCCCGGUGUAGCGGUGAAAUGUGUAGAGAUCGGGAGGAACACCGGUGGCGAAGGCGGGUCUCUGGGCAAUUCCUGACGCUGAGGCGCGAAAGCGUGGGGAGCAAACGGG